AUCAAACAAGUUUUGAUGGAAACAUGUGGGUACAUAGUGCCCAUCAAAUUUUAUUACAUGCCAUAAAUUUCAAAUGAUCAACAGUUCUAUCUCUUCCGACCACGCCGUGUACCCUUCUUCGCCUUAGCAUUUCUUGUUUUUGGUUGUACUGCACACACAAGUUCACUGAUCAUCUUGGUUUUCUUCACUGGACUCGAUGUUAUCGCCUCAUGAAACUCGAUAGCAGCUUCAGUUUCGACAGUUUCGACAGUGUGCACAGCUUCAGUUUCAGUUUCGAC
Molecule: long non-coding RNA, 278 nt
Filed under: Hordeum vulgare
Lineage: Eukaryota; Viridiplantae; Streptophyta; Magnoliopsida; Poales; Poaceae
Description: long non-coding RNA (HVUL_LNC015058)
Source: RNAcentral